Non-coding RNA from Rhodospirillum rubrum ATCC 11170, 37 nucleotides. The record is from Rfam. NCBI's taxonomy places the organism in Bacteria, Pseudomonadati, Pseudomonadota, Alphaproteobacteria, Rhodospirillales, Rhodospirillaceae.
CUCGCACCCUAUGCCCCGCCAUUGAGGGGACUGAAAC